CACUUUUAUUAAAUUGGUUGAGAUUUUACUUUCUCCUCUCCUUUCACUAGACAGCAGUUUUUCAUUCUGAGCUUAGUGAGCGAGCAGAAGCCGAGACAGGAGGACUUUCAGACGCGGGACUCACUGUGAGCAGAAGCCGUGACAGGAGGACAUUCAGACGCGGGACUCACUUGGAGACAGCAUUUGAUAAUUCUGAGCUUAAUGAGCGAGCAGAAGCCGAGACAGGAGGACCUUCAGACGCGGGACUCGCUGUGAGCAGAAGCCGAGACAGCAAGACUUUCAGACGCGGGACUCACUACAGCACUUUUUCAUUCUGAGCUUAAUGAGCGAGCAGAAGCCGAGACAGCAGGACCUUCAGACGCGGGACUCGCUGUGAGCAGAAGCCGAGACAGGCGCACUGCCAGACGCGGGAAUCACUGUGAGCAGAAGCCGAGACAGGAGGACCUUCAGACGCGGGACUCGCUGUGAGCAGAAGCCGAGACAGGAGGACCUUCAGACGCGGGACUCGCUGUGAGCAGAAGCCGAGACAGCAAGACUUUCAGACGCGUGACUCACUGUGAGUCCACAGACGGGAAAAUGUUUCCCCUUGGUCACAGACUGUUUCCAUACAUCCCUACAGUUCAUGAAAAUUAGAAUUGGACCAAUAUUCAUAGUAAAGUGACUGA
Lates calcarifer (barramundi perch) is the source of this 665-nucleotide long non-coding RNA. RefSeq lists it as uncharacterized. The record is from RefSeq and is a predicted model, not a curated record. The transcript is spliced from 3 exons. NCBI's taxonomy places the organism in Eukaryota, Metazoa, Chordata, Actinopteri, Centropomidae.